RNAcentral lists this ribosomal RNA (222 nucleotides) under uncultured bacterium. RNAcentral's name for it is "partial 16S ribosomal RNA". It matches the Rfam family "Bacterial small subunit ribosomal RNA", at positions 328 to 539 of the family's 1533-position model. The record is from RNAcentral.
ACGCUCGACACCUACGGGGGCAGCAGUAGGGAAUCUUCCACAAUGGACGCAAGUCUGAUGGAGCAACGCCGCGUGAGUGAAGAAGGUCUUCGGAUCGUAAAACUCUGUUGUUAGAGAAGAACACGAGUGAGAGUAACUGUUCAUUCGAUGACGGUAUCUAACCAACAAGUCACGGCUAACUACGUGCCAACAGCCGCGGUAAUCUGAGCGGGCUGGCAAGGC